Molecule: ribosomal RNA, 279 nt
Filed under: uncultured bacterium
Lineage: Bacteria
Description: partial 16S ribosomal RNA
Rfam family: Bacterial small subunit ribosomal RNA
Source: RNAcentral
UGCCAGCCGCCGCGGUAAUACGGAGGGUGCAAGCGUUAAUCGGAAUUACUGGGCGUAAAGCGCGCGUAGGCGGUCUUGUCAGUCAGGUGUGAAAGCCCGGGGCUCAACCCCGGACGUGCAUUUGAAACAGCAAGACUUGAGUACGGGAGAGGAGAGAGGAAUUCCUGGUGUAGAGGUGAAAUUCGUAGAUAUCAGGAGGAACGCCGAUGGCGAAGGCAUCUCUCUGGACCGAUAUUGACGCUGAGGUGCGAAAGCGUGGGGAGCAAACAGGAUUAGAUA